CGAAAGCCUGACAGAGCAAUACCGCGUGAGGGAUGAAGACUUACUGAGUUGUAAACCUCGGUGCCUUAAGGAGAAGAUCUGACGGUACUAAGGUGGAAAGCAUCGGCUAACUCCGUGCCAGCAGCCGCGGUAAGACGGGGGAUGCAAGUGUUAUCCGGAAUCACUGGGCGUAAAGCGUCUGCAGGUGGUUUCCUAAGUCCACUGUAAACCUUGAGGCUCAACCUCAAAUCUGCAUUGGAAACUAGGAGACUUGAGUAUAGUAGGGGUAGAGGGAAUUUCCAGUGGAGCGGUGAAAUGCGUAGAUAUUGGAAAGAACACCGAUGGCGAAGGCACUCUACUGGGUUAUUACUGACACUCAGAGACGAAAGCUAGGGGAGCAAAUGGGAUUAGAUACCCCAGUAGUCCUAGCCGUAAACGAUGGAUACUCGAUGUUGGACGUAUCGACCCGUUCAGUAUCUUAGCUAACGCGUUAAGUAUCCCGCCUGGGAAGUACGCUCGCAAGAGUG
This 506-nucleotide ribosomal RNA is filed under the name uncultured cyanobacterium. RNAcentral describes it as "bacterial SSU rRNA". It matches the Rfam family "Bacterial small subunit ribosomal RNA", at positions 376 to 896 of the family's 1533-position model. Lineage: Bacteria; Bacillati; Cyanobacteriota. The record is from RNAcentral.